UUGGAAGUAAAAGUCGUAACAAGGUUUCCGUAGGUGAACCUGCGGAAGGAUCAUUACAGUUAUUAAUUUUUGCCAGCGCUUAACUGCGCGGCGAAAACUAAUCCUUACACACUGUGUUUUUUGUUAUUACAAGAACCAUUGCUUUGGCUUGGCCGCAAGGUUGGGCCAGAGGACACACAAACUUCAAUUUUAUUGAAUUGUUAAUUUUAAUUAUUUGUCAAUUUGUUUGAUUAAUUUCAAAAUAAUCUUCAAAACUUUCAACAACGGAUCUCUUGGUUCUCGCAUCGAUGAAGAACGCAGCGAAAUGCGAUAAGUAAUAUGAAUUGCAGAUUUUCGUGAAUCAUCGAAUCUUUGAACGCACAUUGCGCCCUCUGGUAUUCCGGGGGGCAUGCCUGUUUGAGCGUCAUUUCUCUCUCAAACCUUUGGGUUUGGUAUUGAGUGGUACUCUUAGUCAGACUAGGCGUUUGCUUGAAAUGUAUUGGCAUGGGUGUGCUAGAUAGUGCGUCCUGAUUAUUCAAUGUAUUAGGUUUAUCCAACUCG
RNAcentral lists this unclassified non-coding RNA (540 nucleotides) under Yamadazyma tenuis. RNAcentral describes it as "sequence contains 18S rRNA gene, ITS1, 5.8S rRNA gene, ITS2, 28S rRNA gene". The stretch from base 253 to 406 matches the Rfam family "5.8S ribosomal RNA". Lineage: Eukaryota; Fungi; Ascomycota; Pichiomycetes; Serinales; Debaryomycetaceae. The record is from RNAcentral.